RNAcentral lists this ribosomal RNA (516 nucleotides) under uncultured bacterium. Its description in RNAcentral is "partial 16S ribosomal RNA". It matches the Rfam family "Bacterial small subunit ribosomal RNA", at positions 29 to 523 of the family's 1533-position model. The record is from RNAcentral.
AACGAACGCUGGCGGCGUGCCUAACACAUGUAAGUCGAACGUGAUUGAGGUGCUUGCACCUCAUGAAAGUGGCGCACGGGUGAGUAACGCGUAGAUAAUCUGCCUGUGAUUUGGGAUAACACUUCGAAAGGGGUGCUAAUACCGGAUAAGCCCACGAGCUCUUUGGAGCAUGCGGGAAAAGGAGGGGACCUUCGGGCCUUCCGUCAUCAGAUGAGUCUGCGUACCAUUAGCUAGUUGGUAGGGUAAAGGCCUACCAAGGCGACGAUGGUUAGCUGGUCUGAGAGGAUGAUCAGCCACACUGGAACUGAGACACGGUCCAGACUCCUACGGGAGGCAGCAGUGGGGAAUUUUGCGCAAUGGGGGAAACCCUGACGCAGCAACGCCGCGUGAGUGAUGAAGGCCCUUGGGUCGUAAAGCUCUGACAGAGGGAAAGAAAUGCGGGUGGCUAAUAUCCAUUCCACUUGACGGUACCCUCAAAGGAAGCACCGGCUAACUCCGUGCCAGCCGCCGCGGUAA